GGCGCGGGGAUCCCUGCGGCCCCACCCGGAGGUGUCCGUCUCUUUCCCCCCCCCCGCCCCGACUUCGCGUCGUUACCGUCGCUGUGAGUGCUGCCCGCUCGUUGCCGCGGAGCUGAGGCUUUGUGCGAAGCGCCCCUUCCUUUUCAUCCUUCCGAACGGGGCCGGCGGGGCUCGGUGUGCGCGGCCGGCAGCGCUGCUCGGUAACGCGGGGUUGGGUCGGUGCGGUUUGUUCUGUCCCUUCCCUGUGCUUCAUCCCCAUGGGAAAUUCCUAAUACUGACUUUAUUUCAGAGCUUCCCCCGUGCUGGAGUGUGAGAGUAGGGGAGGGCGAGCGUGUGCGUCUGCCCUGCUGUGGGCUUCUCCUUUUCCUCUUUCACACUUUUUUUUCUUUCUUUUUUUUUUUCCUCCUUUUUUUUCUUUCUUUUCCCCGUUUAUUUAUUGAUAUAUUUCUGUUAUAGCCUCUGUAAAGAGGGGUUAAGCUGCACUUUUAAGUCAUCCCCCCCCAUCUCUGGGUGCAUCUAUCCCGGGGUGGGGGGGGGCUGUGCUUUCCCUGUGCUUUUUACGGCCCCAGGAGCUGCAUUGCAUUCAUGCACUCCUGCACGUUCCUCUCCCCGCAUUAUUGGGGGACUCGCUCCAGGUGAUGCGUGCAGGUCCUCGUUCCAGCGCUGCGGUGCAAAUUCUGGGGGGAUGCUCUUUGGAUUUGGGGCUCUCGGUGCAGCAGGUCGCGUCUUGGUGUGGAGCUCUGUGUUUUCCCCUAACUGUGCCCACCCAGCCCCUUGGCACUGAAGUCCCACGCCCUUCUCAGCGCUCUGUGUCGCUUUCCAGCUCCUGCACAGCAGCGGUCGGAGGCACCGGCAGGAGGAGCUGCACCCCACGGCCAGGAGAAGGGCAGCUGCUUGAAGAGACAGAAGAACGGAGCCUCCCCAGGUGCAGCGCCGCUGCAGGACCAGGGCUGAAGUGCAUUGGGCUGCUCUGCUGCACCCCGGGCGGGUUUCCCUGCGGCUGCUGGCUCUUUGCAGCACAGCAGUUGCACUUUGCAGACCUGAACCUGCUGCCGUCAGCACUGAGGACACUGAAGUGUUGCAGGCUGAUAGCACCUGGGAAGGAAAAAAAAAAAAAAAACCACCACCACCACCAAAAUCCUGAGGCGGUAAUGCAUGCAUGUUCAUGUCUUCAUGUAGAGUGUUCGUCAGUGCCUUAUAGCAUGAUUUAA
RNAcentral lists this long non-coding RNA (1211 nucleotides) under Numida meleagris (helmeted guineafowl). RNAcentral describes it as "lncRNA (ENSNMEG00000020249.1)". The record is from RNAcentral. Lineage: Eukaryota; Metazoa; Chordata; Aves; Galliformes; Numididae.